GCUCUGGUGGUCCAAUCCGGUCAGGAUGUUGGUUUGUCGAACCAACGGUCCGCGUUCAAAUCGCGGCCAGAGCG
This 74-nucleotide transfer RNA is filed under the name Methanobacteriota archaeon. RNAcentral describes it as "Euryarchaeota archaeon tRNA-Asp". It matches the Rfam family "tRNA". From Rfam's summary of the family: Transfer RNA (tRNA) molecules are approximately 80 nucleotides in length. Lineage: Archaea; Methanobacteriati; Methanobacteriota. The record is from RNAcentral.